GCAUAUGCUUCUACAUUUAACACAGCUACUCACCUAGUUUCGCCUCCAUUUAGGAGCUGUUAUGCUAUCAAGUCAAAGCCUUUGAAAACCAAUUGCUUGACUUUGCUCUGAUCAUUCCCAAUCCAAGCGUGAAGUGAACAAGUAGGAACACUCUCAGUCACUUACUGUGUAUAGUUUUUUGAGCUGGAUCAGUGCAAUACAAGAAAUACCCAGUUUCUGAUGUGAUUCUAUUUCCAGGAAAUUCUGUUGAAUUUUGAAAUAUUUUCAGUGGUUUAAUGUGCUCGACUUAGUCUUGCAUUCCAUUACUUCCACAUUUGAAAAUGUUUAUUUGUGCUUCUAUACUGCUUUUGCUAUAAGAUUGGGCAUGCAUUUUUAAAUAUGUCUAUUACAUGUUAAGUGAACAGUGCUAUAUUUAAUUUCAGUCAAUAAUACAUACAUACAUGCUUUAACAGGCUAGGUUUGAUGGUAAUGGGAAGCCUUAUUUUGGCAUCCUUUAUGACAUAUGCUGCAGAGCACCUCUCAGUAAGAACAUUUAUGAGGGGCUAUGAAGACAGGGAUGCACAAAGAACCAGGAACAUAUGUUCUUUCUGUUAGUAGUAGCCUACUUUUCAUGUUAUUAGCUAACCGUUAUCAGCAGCUAUUCUUGUUUUGUCUGUAAUUUGUUUUAAACAUAUUCUUCCCUAUAUUUAAUUGUAGAAUAUUGUGGAAAUUUUUUCCAUUCUAGAGCUGUUCCUUUUGAGUAGGCUGGUCCUAAUUUUCAUGGGAUAACAAUCUUUAUUCUACUGUCAGUUGUAAUUUAAGCUUGUUACAAGCAACUGGAUAGAUUUCACCUUGAAACUGACAUCCAAGGGAGGAUGCUUAAUGUGUUUAUAAGUCAACACAUCAAGCAUCCAGUCUGUACCUUCGGAAUCGACGUCUAUGGCAGCCCAUUUCUCAAUUAGAUGACUCAGCCGAGGCAGUCUUCUACUUUUGUAGUCAUCUCCAGGUGCACCAUCUCAAAUGAGGGUUCAUCCAAGAAAGGGUGCCUGCUAUAAUCACAGGCACUUGGGUAGAAAUCACUCUAAAAAUUGGCUCGUAAGUGAAGAUUACCCGAUAUGCUUAUAAGUUCAUAAGGCUGCCUUGGAGCCUUUCUCCAGCUGAUUGGAACUUGAAGUAGCUUUUAUUUGGUGAUUUUCUGUUUUACAAUUUUUUAAUCAAAAAAUUGUUCUAGCUUUAAGAAUGUUGUAUGCAAUGCUAAAUUAUUAAUGUAUCAAGUGAAAAUACUCCUGUCUCCUGCCAUUCUAGUUGCUAGAAAUUAUACUAUGGUUGGUUAAUUUUCUAUAAUGUGUGUAAACUUUUCUUCCUUCUACUGGGAAUUUUGUACUUCAAUAGAGAGAACUAUUAAGCCAAUUCGGUUCUCAUUAAAAUUGGGUCGAAUCGCACUAUACUUACCCCUAAAUAUAUCGUUAGUUGAUGUAACUCUGGAU
This 1466-nucleotide long non-coding RNA is filed under the name Olea europaea subsp. europaea. The record is from RNAcentral. Lineage: Eukaryota; Viridiplantae; Streptophyta; Magnoliopsida; Lamiales; Oleaceae.